GACGAACGCUGGCGGCGUGCUUAACACAUGCAAGUCGAGCGGUAAGGCCCUUUCGGGGGUACGACGAGCGGCGAACGGGUGAGUAACACGUGGGUGACCUGCCCUCAGCUCUGGGAUAAGCCUGGGAAACCGGGUCUAAUACCGGAUAUGACUCCAUGACGCAUGUUGUGGGGUGGAAAGCCUUGUGCGGCUGAGGAUGGGCCCGCGGCCUAUCAGCUUGUUGGUGGGGUGAUGGCCUACCAAGGCGACGACGGGUAGCCGGCCUGAGAGGGCGACCGGCCACACUGGGACUGAGACGCGGCCCAGACUCCUACGGGAGGCAGCAGUGGGGAAUCUUGCGCAAUGGGCGAAAGCCUGACGCAGCGACGCCGCGUGAGGGAUGACGGCCU
RNAcentral lists this ribosomal RNA (389 nucleotides) under uncultured bacterium. RNAcentral's name for it is "bacterial SSU rRNA". It matches the Rfam family "Bacterial small subunit ribosomal RNA", at positions 28 to 417 of the family's 1533-position model. The record is from RNAcentral.